RNAcentral lists this transfer RNA (87 nucleotides) under bacterium. Its description in RNAcentral is "tRNA-Ser". It matches the Rfam family "tRNA". From Rfam's summary of the family: Transfer RNA (tRNA) molecules are approximately 80 nucleotides in length. The record is from RNAcentral. RNAcentral also lists the same sequence under 3 other names.
GGAGAGGUGGCAGAGCGGCCGAUUGUGCAGCACUGGAAAUGCUGUGUGGGGGCAACCUUACCGGGGGUUCGAAUCCCCCCCUCUCCG